CGCCGCCCCGGCGGCUCCCGGGACCCCCGGUCGGUGCCGCGGCACGGGGCAAGCGGGGCCGUGUCCGUGCGCUGCCUCAGGGCUCCCGUGUGGGAGCCAGCUGCCUCCUGCUCGGCAUGGCAGAGCCGGCAGCAUCGAGCACCGGUGGCCGAACGGGUGAGCAGAGGAAAAUCAAGCCCCAGGAAACCCUCUCUGAACAUCAGCACCUGUUACCGGACCUGCCUCAGCACAGAAAUUAAGGGUAGAAUACACACACAGAUGAACCAGUCUUUCUGCAGAUGCGAGUGAGCCAAUUAAUGAUUUACAGUGUUUUGAAAGUAAGCAUCCUAUGUACUAAGAAUAAUAUUAUUGCUUGAUGUUCUGCAGCACGUUUUAUUAAAAACAAACUGUCAAAUCAGAUAACUGCUCGGCUUAAGUUGCUGAAACUGGUAAUUGUCUACAUGUUUGUUCAAACACUGAAAAUCCCUGCUCACAAGUAGUCCUUAGCAGUAGUAGUGCUGAAGCUGUGGUUAUCAAGGGACAGAGAUAAGCAACGUUUGCAGAGAGGUAGUAUUGCUGGACACAGUCGGGAAAAAAAAAAACCCAAACCAGAUAACCUUCCAAACAUAAGCCCUUCACGUGUCCUUUACACGUGCAAGUAACUCUACAAACUACAGCAAUUUAGGCCUUUGUGCAUUUCAGUGGUUUGUAAAACCAUAUGCUGAUUUUUCAGCAGCUUCUUCCGCAGAGCAUCUUUUACUUAUCAGGAACUCACAGUUAGACUUUCACUAAAAAAGCGCACCCAACUAUUACAGUGGGGCUCACUUACAUGGCAUUCUCCUGACAUGCUACACACUGCAGCUGAUCAAGAUUGGACUCACAGUUUACUUUCCACGAGGAGACAUUUUACACAUUUUAUACAUAAAUACCACCCUUCAGACGGAAUUUAUAAUUUCUUGUGAUAUUAUACAACACUGUCACUAUCCAUACACUACUUUUGUUCUACUCGAGUAGAACAACACUCAAGAAUUGUGUGGCUGGUUAUUCUGGCUGCACAGUGCCUGAACACAAGGGAUAAAGACAGUGAAACAAUUCUUCAGUGAGCUGCAAACUGGGACAGGUCUUUUUGUUUUGUACACAAAGUCCCAUUUUGGAGCUCUCCUCUCACAGCCAGAAGUAAAAGAUCUCACUUUUUCACACUAAAAACAAGAAAAAGGAGACAGGUGAUCCACAAAAUUUUUGGUGACCCUAAAAUUAAUUCUGCUUCAUAGAAAAUUACUAUGAAGGCAUGUAUAAGAACCAAGCACAUUCAACAUCCACAUCUUGCUACAUUUAGUUCUGGAUAUCAAUAAAACAUUGCUAAGGUAACAGACCAAGUAAUUUUAAGGUUUUUAUGUUUUACCACUGGGACUAAGCAAGGUCUUACUUAGCUUUUGGAUAAUGAUAGCCUCUGGAAGCCUGAAUCCUAGGCAGGACCCCAGUGCACAGUAAGCUAUAGCCCACCCCUUCUCCAGAAAGUUUACAUAUAGAGGUACCAGGAAAAUGGUAGUUUCUGUUCUAGAGUAUCAUUCAUGUUUCUUUUCACUGUCAUUUUGUUUGACAUACAAAUAGUUUUGCUUUCCUGCAAUGUCAUAAGAAUUGAUGCUUAACCAAAGUUAGGGUGUUUUUUAAAAAAAUUCAUUAGCCAGAGGGGAAAAAUUAUUUGUCCUUGCUACAGGGGAAAACAAGUCUUCAACCAAAAGUUUGUAACUCUAGAAACAGGUAGGUAAAUAUGAGGUGUUGAGUUUAAAGAGAGGUAAAGGAGCAUUUAGAAGAGAUUCUCCAGAAAUUCUGUAACUUGUGAAAACAACAAGGAUGUUAAGAAGUUUAAAAAUGUCUUAGAAGCUAAGAGUAGCACCAACUAAAUGGGUACUUCACACAAUCCUAAAACUAAUGCCCACUUCUAGGUGUUGACGUUACUGGAUCACUUACAACAGUAGUAGAAUGAAGGCAACGAGCAGGAUAUUGUAACGUUAAGGAUACAGACCAUAAUACGUACAGCUUACCUACAGCUUUCCUUCUAACUCACAGUUUCUUCAAGCCCUGGGUCUUGUUUCCAAUUCAGGAACCUGAUUACAAAUGGCAGUAACAUAAUAUGUUUGUCUCACCCAAAAAAGUUAUGCACAAAAGUAAAACACUGCAUAUCCUGGGUGGCUGUAAAGUCAUUUAAAAAUGCCUAGCAUGUAUUACAAGAACAUUCAGGCAAUUAUUCUUUGUUAAUGAGUUAUCAUAGAUAGGAGUUACCUUUUUCAUUCACAAAUUAGCCCAGCCAUUUUUUGAAGGAUGAAUGUAAAAGUGAGGAGUUUCUGUAUCUCAGUACC
Molecule: long non-coding RNA, 2339 nt
Filed under: Corvus moneduloides (New Caledonian crow)
Lineage: Eukaryota; Metazoa; Chordata; Aves; Passeriformes; Corvidae
Description: lncRNA (ENSCMUG00000018635.1)
Source: RNAcentral